GGGCACGUAGCUCAGUUGGUUAGAGCACUUCACUGAUAAUGAAGAGGUCGGAGGUUCGAGUCCUCCCGUGCCCACCA
This 77-nucleotide transfer RNA is filed under the name Candidatus Uhrbacteria bacterium. RNAcentral describes it as "tRNA-Ile". It matches the Rfam family "tRNA". From Rfam's summary of the family: Transfer RNA (tRNA) molecules are approximately 80 nucleotides in length. Lineage: Bacteria; Candidatus Uhriibacteriota. The record is from RNAcentral.